AAUGCAAGUCGAACGGGUCCUCUCCUUCGGGGGAGGGCCAGUGGCGAACGGUCGCGUAACACGUAGACAACCUGCCCGGAAGUGGGGGAUAACAGCCCGAAAGGGCUGCUAAUACCGCAUGUGGCCGCCUUCUCGCCUGAGGGGGUGUCUAAAGCUUGAUGCGCUUCCGGAUGGGCUUGCGGCCUAUCAGCUGGUUGGUGGGGUAACGGCCUACCAAGGCGAUGACGGGUAGCUGGUCUGAGAGGAUGGUCAGCCGGAUUGGGACUGAGAUACGGCCCAGACUCCUACGGGGGGCAGCAAUUAGGAAUCUUGCGCAAUGGGGGCAACCCUGACGCAGCGACGCCGCGUGAAGGAUGACGGUCUUCGGAUCGUAAACUUCUUUUGACAGGGAAGAGAACGGACGGUACCUGUCGAAUAAGCCCCGGCUAACUACGUGCCAGCAGCCGCGGUAAUACGUAGGGGGCGAGCGUUGUCCGAAGUUACUGGGCGUAAAGCGCGCGUAGGCGGUCCUUUAAGUCUGGUGUGAAAGCCCACGGCUCAACCGUGGAGGGUCAUUGGAAACUGGGGAACUUGAGUGCAGAAGAGGAAAGUGGAAUUCCAAGUGUAGCGGUGAAAUGCGUAGAGAUUUGGAGGAACACCAGUGGCGAAAGCGACUUUCUGGUCUGUAACUGACACUGA
Molecule: ribosomal RNA, 678 nt
Filed under: uncultured bacterium
Lineage: Bacteria
Description: bacterial SSU rRNA
Rfam family: Bacterial small subunit ribosomal RNA
Source: RNAcentral